This 485-nucleotide ribosomal RNA is filed under the name uncultured Weissella sp. RNAcentral's name for it is "partial 16S ribosomal RNA". Lineage: Bacteria; Bacillati; Bacillota; Bacilli; Lactobacillales; Lactobacillaceae. The record is from RNAcentral.
CACGUAUUUAGCCGUUCCUUUCUGGUAAGAUACCGUCACACAUUGAAUAGUUACUCUCAAUGUCAUUCUUCUCUUACAACAGUGUUUUACGAGCCGAAACCCUUCAUCACACACGCGGCGUUGCUCCAUCAGGCUUUCGCCCAUUGUGGAAGAUUCCCUACUGCUGCCUCCCGUAGGAGUAUGGGCCGUGUCUCAGUCCCAUUGUGGCCGAUCAGUCUCUCAACUCGGCUAUGCAUCAUAGUCUUGGUGAGCCAUUACCUCACCAACUAACUAAUGCACCGCGGGACCAUCUCUUAGUGAUAGCAGAACCAUCUUUUAAGUAGCAACCAUGCGGUUGCUAUUGUUAUACGGUAUUAGCAUCUGUUUCCAAAUGUUAUCCCCUGCUAAGAGGUAGGUUUCCCACGUGUUACUCACCCGUUCGCCACUCUUUGCAAUGUCCAUCGUCAUAUCUGAGCAAGCUCUUCAAAUCAGUUGAACCACAAAAC